This 144-nucleotide non-coding RNA is filed under the name unclassified sequences. Its description in RNAcentral is "IMES-2 RNA motif". It matches the Rfam family "IMES-2 RNA motif". The record is from Rfam by way of RNAcentral.
AUUUUAAUUAAGAAGGCAACUCUUAACUAGGCCAUUUAAAGAAAAACCGAGAGGUUCAAGCUUAAAGGGCAGAAAGGUGGACCUAGUAGCGCUAGAAUAGUUCAUCGAUACGGCUUGGCGGUAGCGCCUAAAACGACGAGCCAA